UUAAGCGACUAAGCGUACACGGUGGAUGCCCUGGCAGUCAGAGGCGAUGAAGGACGUGCUAAUCUGCGAUAAGCGUCGGUGAGGUGAUAUGAACCGUUAUAACCGGCGAUUUCCGAAUGGGGAAACCCAGUGUGUUUCGACACACUAUCAUUAACUGAAUCCAUAGGUUAAUGAGGCGAACCGGGGGAACUGAAACAUCUAAGUACCCCGAGGAAAAGAAAUCAACCGAGAUUCCCCCAGUAGCGGCGAGCGAACGGGGAGGAGCCCAGAGCCUGAAUCAGUGUGUGUGUUAGUGGAAGCGUCUGGAAAGGCGCGCGAUACAGGGUGACAGCCCCGUACACAAAAAUGCACAUAUUGUGAGCUCGAUGAGUAGGGCGGGACACGUGGUAUCCUGUCUGAAUAUGGGGGGACCAUCCUCCAAGGCUAAAUACUCCUGACUGACCGAUAGUGAACCAGUACCGUGAGGGAAAGGCGAAAAGAACCCCGGCGAGGGGAGUGAAAAAGAACCUGAAACCGUGUACGUACAAGCAGUGGGAGCCUCUUAAUGGGGUGACUGCGUACCUUUUGUAUAAUGGGUCAGCGACUUAUAUUCUGUAGCAAGGUUAACCGAAUAGGGGAGCCGAAGGGAAACCGAGUCUUAACUGGGCGUUAAGUUGCAGGGUAUAGACCCGAAACCCGGUGAUCUAGCCAUGGGCAGGUUGAAGGUUGGGUAACACUAACUGGAGGACCGAACCGACUAAUGUUGAAAAAUUAGCGGAUGACUUGUGGCUGGGGGUGAAAGGCCAAUCAAACCGGGAGAUAGCUGGUUCUCCCCGAAAGCUAUUUAGGUAGCGCCUCGUGAAUUCAUCUCCGGGGGUAGAGCACUGUUUCGGCAAGGGGGUCAUCCCGACUUACCAACCCGAUGCAAACUGCGAAUACCGGAGAAUGUUAUCACGGGAGACACACGGCGGGUGCUAACGUCCGUCGUGAAGAGGGAAACAACCCAGACCGCCAGCUAAGGUCCCAAAGUCAUGGUUAAGUGGGAAACGAUGUGGGAAGGCCCAGACAGCCAGGAUGUUGGCUUAGAAGCAGCCAUCAUUUAAAGAAAGCGUAAUAGCUCACUGGUCGAGUCGGCCUGCGCGGAAGAUGUAACGGGGCUAAACCAUGCACCGAAGCUGCGGCAGCGACACUAUGUGUUGUUGGGUAGGGGAGCGUUCUGUAAGCCUGUGAAGGUGGCCUGUGAGGGUUGCUGGAGGUAUCAGAAGUGCGAAUGCUGACAUAAGUAACGAUAAAGCGGGUGAAAAGCCCGCUCGCCGGAAGACCAAGGGUUCCUGUCCAACGUUAAUCGGGGCAGGGUGAGUCGACCCCUAAGGCGAGGCCGAAAGGCGUAGUCGAUGGGAAACAGGUUAAUAUUCCUGUACUUGGUGUUACUGCGAAGGGGGGACGGAGAAGGCUAUGUUGGCCGGGCGACGGUUGUCCCGGUUUAAGCGUGUAGGCUGGUUUUCCAGGCAAAUCCGGAAAACCAAGGCUGAGGCGUGAUGACGAGGCACUACGGUGCUGAAGCGACAAAUGCCCUGCUUCCAGGAAAAGCCUCUAAGCAUCAGGUAACAUCAAAUCGUACCCCAAACCGACACAGGUGGUCAGGUAGAGAAUACCAAGGCGCUUGAGAGAACUCGGGUGAAGGAACUAGGCAAAAUGGUGCCGUAACUUCGGGAGAAGGCACGCUGAUAUGUAGGUGAAGCGACUAGCUCGUGGAGCUGAAAUCAGUCGAAGAUACCAGCUGGCUGCAACUGUUUAUUAAAAACACAGCACUGUGCAAACACGAAAGUGGACGUAUACGGUGUGACGCCUGCCCGGUGCCGGAAGGUUAAUUGAUGGGGUUAGCGGCAACGCGAAGCUCUUGAUCGAAGCCCCGGUAAACGGCGGCCGUAACUAUAACGGUCCUAAGGUAGCGAAAUUCCUUGUCGGGUAAGUUCCGACCUG
Molecule: ribosomal RNA, 1962 nt
Filed under: Escherichia coli BIDMC 72
Lineage: Bacteria; Pseudomonadati; Pseudomonadota; Gammaproteobacteria; Enterobacterales; Enterobacteriaceae
Description: bacterial LSU rRNA
Rfam family: Bacterial large subunit ribosomal RNA
Source: RNAcentral